This 498-nucleotide ribosomal RNA is filed under the name uncultured bacterium. RNAcentral's name for it is "partial 16S ribosomal RNA". It matches the Rfam family "Bacterial small subunit ribosomal RNA", at positions 28 to 507 of the family's 1533-position model. The record is from RNAcentral.
GACGAACGCUGGCGGCGUGCCUAAUACAUGCAAGUCGAGCGGACGGAUGGGAGCUUGCUCCCAGACCGUCAGCGGCGGACGGGUGAGUAACACGUGGGCAACCUGCCUGUAAGACUGGGAUAACUCCGGGAAACCGGGGCUAAUACCGGAUAACUCUUUCCCUCACAUGAGGGAAAGCUGAAAGAUGGCAUCUCGCUAUCACUUACAGCUGGGCCCGCGGCGCAUUAGCUAGUUGGUGAGGUAACGGCUCACCAAGGCGACGAUGCGUAGCCGACCUGAGAGGGUGAUCGGCCACACUGGGACUGAGACACGGCCCAGACUCCUACGGGAGGCAGCAGUAGGGAAUCUUCCGCAAUGGACGAAAGUCUGACGGAGCAACGCCGCGUGAGUGAUGAAGGUUUUCGGAUCGUAAAACUCUGUUGUCAGGGAAGAACAAGUACCGGAGUAACUGCCGGUACCUUGACGGUACCUGACCAGAAAGCCACGGCUAACUACGUG